Helianthus annuus (common sunflower) is the source of this 212-nucleotide long non-coding RNA. RefSeq lists it as uncharacterized. Lineage: Eukaryota; Viridiplantae; Streptophyta; Magnoliopsida; Asterales; Asteraceae. The record is from RefSeq and is a predicted model, not a curated record. The transcript has 3 exons.
GUGAUGAGCUUCUUUCAGACUCCUUCCCCUACAAGGAACUCUUGAAUGGGAUCCUAUGAGAAGUUGAAGGAAAGAAUCUGAUCAAAUUGGGCCAUAAUCUGAAGAAAUGUGUUUAAGCUACGACAAGGUAUGAUAAAAAAAUAUAAAAGCUGCUCUUCCUGUCUUUUGUUCGCUUCACGUAUCUUCGCUAAAUCAAUAUGUUGGAAGGUUUG